GACGAACGCUGGCGGCGUGCUUAACACAUGCAAGUCGAGCGGUAAGGCCCUUUCGGGGGUACACGAGCGGCGAACGGGUGAGUAACACGUGGGUGACCUGCCCUCAGCUCUGGGAUAAGCCUGGGAAACCGGGUCUAAUACUGGAUAUGACUCCAUGACGCAUGUUGUGGGGUGGAAAGCCUUGUGCGGCUGAGGAUGGGCCCGCGGCCUAUCAGCUUGUUGGUGGGGUGAUGGCCUACCAAGGCGACGACGGGUAGCCGGCCUGAGAGGGCGACCGGCCACACUGGGACUGAGACACGGCCCAGACUCCUACGGGAGGCAGCAGUGGGGAAUCUUGCGCAAUGGGCGAAAGCCUGACGCAGCGACGCCGCGUGAGGGACGACGGCCUCGG
Molecule: ribosomal RNA, 391 nt
Filed under: uncultured bacterium
Lineage: Bacteria
Description: bacterial SSU rRNA
Rfam family: Bacterial small subunit ribosomal RNA
Source: RNAcentral